CAAAGGACAGUCCUUAUGGACACAUCGUGUGGGAGGGACUAGGGGUUCUGCAAUAGCCUCUUCAGCUAUGAAUUAACUUCACUAUCAGCGACAACUUCUAGGAAUAAAAAGGCCAUGCAUAUACAGAUGAAACACAGUCCACAGGUUCCUCUCCUCACCUUCUCCUCCCAUGAGCACUCAAACUGAUCAGCUCUGCAAGUCAAGAGAAAUGCCUCUGCCAGCCCCACCCAUCACCUUGGGAAAGCAUUAAGGUCUCUCAGUGGGAGAGACUGAAGAGUCCAUUGCACUUUGGGAUCCAGUGUCUUCAGAUGACCUACCGUCCCUGCACUCUGCCUCUCUUGGGGACUACACCAUUUGUCCACACAGUGUCUUGUGAUCCUCAGGGGAAGUAGAGCUGGAAGAUAGGAGCUGUCCAAACUGCACUGUAUUGGGGAGGGAAUGCUCAGCUCUCAACCUCCAGAUAGACUGGAAUCUAUCAAGGUGGAGGUCCCUACAGGAUCUCAGUUUGGGGUCUGCCAGGAAAUCCAAACUGCUUCCAGGCAGCAUACAGUUCUGAGAUCUGACUUUAUAUUGGAGAAUUUGAUGGAGCUAAUGGAAGAGCCAGGAAAUAGAAGAAGAAAACCACUUCUUGGGAUCCCGCCACCAUUUUUGAUGCCUGCAAUUUUCUGAAGAUUGGAAAAAGUCUGGUGGGGACACUGAAGGCUGAAAAAGAGCACAAAGUCUCUUGGGUGUGCCCUGGUAUUCAGGUUCACUGAAUUUUGUAUAGGAAACUGGAAUAAGAUAUUUUUUCCCAAAAUGUGUAUUUUAGAAAUUCAUCACUGCCAGUCUGCCCAGGGGAAGCAUUUUACAAGCAAUAGAGACAGAAACUAGGUGGAAAAACUAGGCA
Molecule: long non-coding RNA, 886 nt
Organism: Ornithorhynchus anatinus (platypus)
Lineage: Eukaryota; Metazoa; Chordata; Mammalia; Monotremata; Ornithorhynchidae
Exons: 5
Source: RefSeq, a predicted model, not a curated record